AAUUAAUUAAUUAAUUGUAUUAGUCUUCAUUGUAUUAAUUAAUUAAUUGUAUUAGUCUUCAUUGUAAUUACACAUCUGCUCUGAUCAGUCUUCAUUAUAUUAAUUAAUUUUCCACUAUAUUACACAAUUAAUUAAUACACUAUGCAUUACACAAUUGCAUUACAUUGUAUUAAUUAAUUUUUCAUUACAUUACACAAUUAAUCACACUUACAUUACACUGAAAUUAUUUUUCAUUUAUUAAAUUUGUUGUGUAGAAAAUGACAUCAUCGAAAAGUAAUAGAAAAGACCCGAUGUGGCAAUAUGCCCAUUUGGUAGAGGAUAAUAAUUUAAAUAAGUUCGAGUGUAAUUUUUGUGAUAAAGUAUUAAAUGGAGGUGUUUAUCGGGUGAAACAACACCUUGCGGGAGGUUAUAAGAAUGUCACUGCCUGCCCGAAGUGUCCUUCUCAUGUAAGAGAAGAGAUUAGAGAGUUCAUGUCAAAAAAAAAGACACAAAAAGAAGAAAUGAACAUGUUGCCCGAUUUCGAUGACAUGCACAUGGAAGAUGAAGAUGAUGAUGAUGAAGAUGAUGAUGUCAUUGAGAUCAAUGUCAAUCAACACCGCAAGUUGACAAGUAGUAGUCAAGGUUCAACCAAAUCCAAAUCCAAAAUGCCAAAGAGAAAAGGGCCUAUGGAUGUUUACUUCACACCCAAUCCUGAAUCAGUGGUGAAAAAUCGAAGAGACCAAGCAAAAAAGAAACAAACCAAAAUUGAUGCAAAUGACCCUUACAAAAAAGAAAUGAGAGCUCGGGCACUGCAAAGAUUUGCAAGGUGGAUGUAUGAUGCUGGUAUCCCUUUUAAUGCAGUAAAUUAUGAGAGUUUUAGACCAAUGAUUGAAGCCAUUGGCCAAUAUGGUCCUGGUAUGAAGCCACCGACUUACCAUGAAGUGCGGGUUACCCAACUCAAAAAAGAAGUGAAACAUACUGAAGAUUUGAUGAAGUAUCAUAAAGAGGAUUGUGCAAAAUACGGGUGUUCCAUAAUGGCUGAUGGUUGGACUGAUAAGAGAGGAAAGACAUUGAUUAACUUUUUAGUUAAUUGUCCAAGAGGAAUCAUGUUUGUUGAGUCGGUUGAUGCUUCUAGCUAUUCAAAGGAUGGGCAAAAGCUAUUUGAAUUACUAGACAAGUUUGUGGAGAAAGUUGGAAAAGGGAAUGUGGUGCAAGUUAUCACUGAUAGUGCUGCAGCUAAUGUGUUGGCGGGUAAGAAUAUUUCCUCAUUCCUUACAUCAAAAUUGUUUACUCAUAGUUUGUUUUGUAUUUAAAAUUUAAAAACUUGAAAAUAAUAAUUCUUCGUUAUUGUUACAUUAUAGGGAGGUUUUUGGAAGCUAAGUAUGAACAUUUGUAUUGAACACCAUGUGCUGCUCAUUGUUUGGACUUGAUGUUAGAAGACAUUUUCAAGAUACCUAGACUGAAAAAGACAUUUGAAAGGGGUAUUGCAGUACAUGGCUACAUUUAUAAUCGGCCUACGUUGCUAAACAUGAUGAGGCGCUAUACAAAUUUGAAAAAUUUGAUCAAGCCUGCAAAAACUAGAUUUGCAACCGCCUUUUUGACUUUGUCUAGAAUGCAUCAACAAAAAAACAAUUUGAGAAAGAUGGUGAUCUCCGAAGACUAGAUCUCAAGCAAAUGGGCAAAGGAGCCACAAGGUAAAAGAAUGGCACAAACUUUGUUUAUGCCUUCAUUUUGGAAUACUGUUGUGUUUACCCUUAAGGUCUUGGGUCCUCUUGUCAAAGUGCUUAGAUUGGUUGAUACCGAGAAAAAACCUUCCAUGGGAUACAUUUAUGAGGCAAUGGAUAGGGCAAAAGAAUGCAUUGCAAGUUCAUUUGAUCAUAAAAAAGAGAAGUAUAAUGAAAUCUUCAAAAUCAUCGACAAAAGAUGGGAUGUCCAAUUGCAUCGGCCUUUACAUGCAGCUGCCCAUUUUCUUAACCCAGAAUUCUUUUACCCAAAAGCGUUAGAGUUGCAAAGAGAUCAUGAAUUGAUGAAUAGGUUUUAUGAAUGCAUGCAAAGGUUGGUCCUGGAUGUCACUAUUCAAGAUUUGAUCACUAAUGAGAUGAGUAUUUAUAUGAAGGCUGAGAGUCUUUUUGGUAAGUCUGUUGCGAUUAGGCAAAAAAAUACAAGAGCACCAGGUAAUAUAUUAUAGACUCAUAGAGUUUAUUUUUAAUAAUACUUUUAGUAAAACUCAAUACUUGGUAAUAGUUAUUUCUAACUAGUGGAUUAUCGCAGCUGAUUGGUGGACAUCAUAUGGUUCUUAUACUUCAAACUUGCAAACUUUUACCAUAAAAGUCCUUAGCCUAACAUGUAGUUCAUCGGGUUGUGAACGAAAUUGGAGUGUAUUCGAACAUCUUCAUAGCAAGAAAAGAAAUAAAUUGGAACAAUCAACGUCUCAAUGAUUUAGUGUAUGUCAAAUACAAUAGAACAUUGAGAUUUAGGUAUGACAUGCGCAACACUCUUGAUCCCAUAUCUUUGCAAAAUAUUGAUGAAAGCAAUGAGUAGUUGCUUGGGAGAAUGGAUGGAGAAUCAUAUGAAGAUAAUGAGCCUGUGUUUGAUGAUGAUUACUUCUUGACGUGGGCCACUGUUGCUAGAGCUUCUGGAGUAGAAGAAAGUAGCCAUGCAAGUAGAGCAAUAAGUUCAUGCUCAAAGGCACAACCGAGGAUAGCUAAAUCAUCAAGAUUAACUCCACUUCAAUUAAUAGAUGAAGAGGAAGCGGGCUCAGAUGACACGGAGGAGGAAGAUGUUGAGGGAUACAAAUCAGCUGAUGGAGAAGAAGAUGAUAGUUUGCUUGCCAUUGAUGUUGAGGAUGAUGAUUGACUGACCGACCUAACCUACCCUUUCUUUUGAUGUUGAUGUUUUUAAGUGUUAAGGCAUAUAUUAGUAUUUGUUGGAUAUUUAUGUUUUGGAUGUUUAGUGUUUAUGUUUAUGUUUUUAGAUGUUUGAAAUAUUAUGUAAUAUGCACUUUCAUGGCUUUGAGAAUUAUUCUAUAUUUUGUCUUGAAUCUUGAUUACCUUUUAUUUUUAAAAAAAUUGUCUUAGUACUAUGAAUGAUUAGUCUAUGUUAAUUUUUCUAUUUUUUACUAAGACUGUGCACCUUACUUCAAUAAAGCCCGCGCCUCGCCUUGCGCCUAGGCCCCGAGAGACCUUCAGCGCCUUAGUGCGCCUUGAGCCUUUAAAAACAUUGGG
This is a non-coding RNA of Camellia sinensis, 3203 nucleotides long. The record is from RefSeq and is a predicted model, not a curated record. Lineage: Eukaryota; Viridiplantae; Streptophyta; Magnoliopsida; Ericales; Theaceae.